This 301-nucleotide ribosomal RNA is filed under the name uncultured bacterium. RNAcentral describes it as "partial 16S ribosomal RNA". It matches the Rfam family "Bacterial small subunit ribosomal RNA", at positions 509 to 807 of the family's 1533-position model. The record is from RNAcentral.
CAGUCGCCGCGGUAAUACGUAGGGUGCGAGCGUUAAUCGGAAUUACUGGGCGUAAAGCGUGCGUAGGCGGUUCGUUAAGUCUGUUGUGAAAGCCCCGGGCUCAACCUUGGAACUGCCUUUGAUACUGUUAGUCUUGAGUUCGAGAGAGGUGAGUGGAACUGCGAGUGUAGAGGUGAAAUUCGUAGAUAUUCGCAAGAACACCAGUGGCGAAGGCGGCUCACUGGCUCGAAACUGACGCUGAGGCACGAAAGCGUGGGGAGCAAACAGGAUUAGAUACCCCCGUAGUCCCUGUCUCUUAUAC